CACGUGGGUAACCUACCUAUAAGACUGGAAUAACUCCGGGAAACCGGGGCUAAUGCCGGAUAACAUAUAGAACCGCAUGGUUCUAUAGUGAAAGAUGGUUUUGCUAUCACUUAUAGAUGGACCCGCGCCGUAUUAGCUAGUUGGUAAGGUAACGGCUUACCAAGGCGACGAUACGUAGCCGACCUGAGAGGGUGAUCGGCCACACUGGAACUGAGACACGGUCCAGACUCCUACGGGAGGCAGCAGUAGGGAAUCUUCCGCAAUGGGCGAAAGCCUGACGGAGCAACGCCGCGUGAGUGAUGAAGGGUUUCGGCUCGUAAAACUCUGUUAUUAGGGAAGAACAUAUGUGUAAGUAACUGUGCACAUCUUGACGGUACCUAAUCAGAAAGCCACGGCUAACUACGUGCCAGCAGCCGCGGUAAUACGUAGGUGGCAAGCGUUAUCCGGAAUUAUUGGGCGUAAAGCGCGCGUAGGCGGUUUCUUAAGUCUGAUGUGAAAGCCCACGGCUCAACCGUGGAGGGUCAUUGGAAACUGGGAAACUUGAGUGCAGAAGAGGAAAGUGGAAUUCCAUGUGUAGCGGUGAAAUGCGCAGAGAUAUGGAGGAACACCAGUGGCGAAGGC
This 621-nucleotide ribosomal RNA is filed under the name Staphylococcus sp. Its description in RNAcentral is "bacterial SSU rRNA". It matches the Rfam family "Bacterial small subunit ribosomal RNA", at positions 114 to 722 of the family's 1533-position model. The record is from RNAcentral. Lineage: Bacteria; Bacillati; Bacillota; Bacilli; Caryophanales; Staphylococcaceae.